RNAcentral lists this ribosomal RNA (440 nucleotides) under Macrobrachium superbum. Its description in RNAcentral is "partial 16S ribosomal RNA". The stretch from base 52 to 440 matches the Rfam family "Bacterial large subunit ribosomal RNA", at positions 2048 to 2645 of the family's 2925-position model. The record is from RNAcentral. Lineage: Eukaryota; Metazoa; Arthropoda; Malacostraca; Decapoda; Palaemonidae.
GGGAAAAUGGACGAGGGAGAGCUGUCUCCUUUACGUAAUUUGAAUUUAACUUUUGAGUGAAAAGGCUCAAAUUAUUUAGUGGGACGAUAAGACCCUAUAAAACUUUAUAUAAGUUUAAUUUGGCUUACAAUUUGAGUGAAAAGUAGCUUUAUUAGGCUUAUAUUUCGUUGGGGAGAUGUAGAUAUAAUGUGUAACUGUCUGUUUAAUUUAAUAAUUAUAAUUAGUGUGUGAUCCUUCUUUGUGGAUAAAAAGUAUAAGUUACUUUAGGGAUAACAGCGUGAUUUUCUUUGAGAGUUCUUAUCGACAAGAGUAGUUGCGACCUCGAUGUUGAAUUAAAAUUUCAGUUAGGUGUAGCCGUCUAGCUGGUAGGUCUGUUCGACCUUUAAAAUUUUACAUGAUUUGAGUUCAAACCGGUGUGAGCCAGGUUGGUUUCAAUAUAA